This is a long non-coding RNA of Nannospalax galili (Upper Galilee mountains blind mole rat), 2226 nucleotides long. RefSeq lists it as uncharacterized. Lineage: Eukaryota; Metazoa; Chordata; Mammalia; Rodentia; Spalacidae. The record is from RefSeq and is a predicted model, not a curated record. The transcript is spliced from 4 exons.
AACCAAUGUUCAGGCAUCCACAGCAGCUGCUGUCCAAAUGUCAGCGCCAGCCCUGUCGAAAGAGCUUGAAAGCCACUAGGCUCGGGAAGGAUGUGCACCCACAUUUUCCCCAAGCACUCUCAGGAACCUGGCAACAGCUAAAGUCUGAGAAAAUAAACGCCUGCUGCGGGUUAGCCUGCUCUCGGGCAUCCCCUGGUGGCGGAUCUCGGAACUACAUGUAGAUGCUCAGCGUCCGGAGGCUCAGCCUCUAGGAAUCUGCUUCAAGACUGAGAGAAGAGAAUUCACCAAGGAUGUAAGAAACACAAAGAAAGGCACUUUGGCGUGUCCUAUUCAGAGGUGUCACUGUGGUUCUUAGAAUAGGAAAAACUACCGGUGGUAACCAUCGAACACUGUAUUGGCCCCUUGGCCCACAAAGGAUGCCUGCUCCUCAGGGAUAUGCAACAGGAUUGGCAGAACGGAUGAAACACACCUUAUUAUCUGUGUCAUUGACAGAGGAGGCCACAGAUUGAGAAUGUGUCCCGGUGCCCCUCUGGCUCUCUCCCACCUCAUGACCAUUGACGUGUUCCCCACAGACUGUAUUUAAACUGCUACCCUAGUGGGCUGGGGUGUAGUUCAGUGGUGCCUAGCAUGUACAGGGCCCUGGGAUAGAUCCUCAGCAUGGGAGGCAGGGAGGAGAGAGGCUGUUAGGUGCUUAUCAUCUGCCAAAUUUCAAUUAAAAAUCCAACCUACAAACCUUUUGAAGUCAGAAUUAAACUUGGUAUCAAUUUACUCUCCCCAACCCUCUCCUCCUCCUCAUUCACUGAACGUUAAUAAAGCUGUAGCUGCUCUCAUUAAAUUCUUAAAACAGCCCUGCUGAGGAGGAGGGAUGGUUUUAGUUCAGCAGAUGAAAAGAAGGCUGAGAGUUGCCUUGCCCCGGCUCUAACAGGAUGGACUUGGCUGGGAACUGGGUUCUUCCCACUGAAGUCUCCACACUUUCAAAGAGCUGCCUCCUGACUCUGUUCUUAAGACUCUUCUUUGAAGCUGGGCAUGGUGGUGAGCACCUGUAAUCUCAGCACUGGGAAGGUAGCAGGAGAUUCAAGAGUUCAGGGCUAGGCUCAGCUACAUAGUGAGUUUAAGGCCAGCCUGGGUUAUGUGGGACCCAAUGUCAAAACAACAAUGACAAGAGAUAUUCCUUUGAACCCUGUGAGAACAUGCUGUGUCCAGGAACCCAUAUUGGAAGCUCUCAGCAACAGUAUUUGGAAUGCAGGGCUUUGAGGAUGUCAGCCAGCUGAUAACGGUUUUGGGGUGAUAAAAGGCCCACAUCGCCAGUACUCUCUUGCAGAAGUAAGAGCUCCCAUCAGGGGCAUCCUGCAGUGGCUUCUCACUUUCUUUACUUUUGUCCCUGACCCUCAAGAGCUUAGUGGGUACACCAGGUCUUAUAUUUUUAAAGGGCCAAGGUCAAAUUUGAUAACAACUUUUCUCACAUUGUCUGGUGGAGUCCUACAUGUCCACUGGUUUAUCACAGUGCAGAGUUUGUGACAUACAUUUUUGGUUUUUAUUAUGAUGGUAAUAGGGGUGCCUCUUUCCACAGGCUGGGAUGAUGUCUGUAUAAAUCCAGAAUGGUACUGUAUGGUGUGCCCCUGGGGGUAAACAGUGCACACUUACAAGGUUGUAUACGUAUUUUGAAAGCUUUUCUAUCAUUCUGUUUCACUUUUUCUCACCCCUCUACCCUGAGCCUGUAAGUGGAGCAAAAUAAAGUAGCUCUUUUUUUUUUCUUUGCCCACUAUGGCUUGUACUGUCAGGAGGGCGGGUCCAUGCUAGGUUCAUCUGGGGGCCGACUGAUUUGAUAGGAUCAGGAUCCUGGCUAGUUUGUCUUCAAAGGGAACUUUUCAUUCAUUAAAGCUGUACCUAUUGCACAAUUUGGGAAUCACUUUUUAAGCGCAUAAUUCCAAUCCAAGUGAUAACUAAGAUAAGCCUUAUAACACAGCUUGACUUUCUGACUAAACUGAAGCGGGGUAUAGCACUUGCUUAGUGUAAUGGAGGCCCCCGGCUCUGACCCCAGUACUGCAAAACAAUUCUCCCAAACUGAUGUGUGGAUGGACAGCUAUGUUAGUGACCCGCACAGUUAAAUAGAUCAAACAUCCGACAUUUUUAUGACCCCCAAACAAGCACUGCCUCCUGGUGUGGAUUAGAUUGAAAACGGCAAUAAAACCUGUUUCCUUUUCCGGAUUUCUACUGUCGUAAGUC